ACUGGACUAAUUAUGAUUCCCUACAUAGAGUAUUCCAAUUUGUCUCUUUUUGCCUUUGUACAGGCUGUCCUCGAAGAUGUUCAACUGACGUCUAUUCUCUAGAAUUACUUCCUUCAAAACUCAGCUCCACUGCUACUUCCUGCAUGAAGUCUUUUCUGAUAUAUUCAGGUGUCAGCAUCCUUACCUUCCCUCAGUUAUUCUGCAUAGCACCUGAAGAGGAUAGAAUUAGGUCAAAGGAGAGUCAUUUAAUGAAAAUUAAGGAGGAGCAGGAGUAACAAAAGCUUUCUAGUAUGUGGGUUUUCGCUUGUGGAUUUAACUGUGCCCUUAAACCUUGGACCUCUCUCCCAGGAUCAGGUUCCACCUGAACCACUGCUUAGAAUUGUGGCUGAAUAAAAAGUGAUUCUAAGCAGCCAAAAAUUCAAUAGAUCUUUCUCUGUAAGAUGAAGAAAUUGGGAUAUAAU
RNAcentral lists this long non-coding RNA (461 nucleotides) under Sarcophilus harrisii (Tasmanian devil). RNAcentral describes it as "lncRNA (ENSSHAG00000021276.1)". Lineage: Eukaryota; Metazoa; Chordata; Mammalia; Dasyuromorphia; Dasyuridae. The record is from RNAcentral.